GGGGAUUUAGCUCAGUGGUAGGGCGCUUGCCUAGCAAGUACAAGGCCCUGGGUUCAGUUCCCAGCUCCG
Molecule: transfer RNA, 69 nt
Filed under: Rattus norvegicus (Norway rat)
Lineage: Eukaryota; Metazoa; Chordata; Mammalia; Rodentia; Muridae
Rfam family: tRNA
About the family: Transfer RNA (tRNA) molecules are approximately 80 nucleotides in length. Their secondary structure includes four short double-helical elements and three loops (D, anti-codon, and T loops).
Source: Rfam by way of RNAcentral